UCUGGCCUUCGGGUCCGAGUUGUAAUUUGUAGAGGAUGCUUUUGGUGAGGUACCUUCCGAGUUCCCUGGAACGGGACGCCAUAAAGGGUGAGAGCCCCGUCUGGUCGGAUACCGAUCCUCUGUAAAGCUCCUUCGACGAGUCGAGUAGUUUGGGAAUGCUGCUCUAAAUGGGAGGUAUAUGUCUUCUAAAGCUAAAUAUUGGCCAGAGACCGAUAGCGCACAAGUAGAGUGAUCGAAAGAUGAAAAGCACUUUGAAAAGAGAGUUAAAAAGUACGUGAAAUUGUUGAAAGGGAAGCGCUCAUGACCAGACUUGGGCUUGGUUGAUCAUCCAGGGUUCUCCCUGGUGCACUCUUCCAGCCCAGGCCAGCAUCAGUUCGCUGUGGGGGAUAAAGGCUUCGGGAAUGUGGCUCCUCCGGGAGUGUUAUAGCCCGCUGCGUAAUACCCUGUGGUGGACUGAGGUUCGCGCAUCUGCAAGGAUGCUGGCGUAAUGGUCAUCAGCGACCCGUCUUGAAACACGGACCAAGGAGUCGUCUUCGUAUGCGAGUGUUCGGGUGUUAAACCCCUACGCGUAAUGAAAGUGAACGCAGGUGAGAGCUUCGGCGCAUCAUCGACCGAUCCUGAUGUUCUCGGAUGGAUUUGAGUAAGAGCAUACGGGGCCGGACCCGAAAGAAGGUGAACUAUGCCUGUAUAGGGUGAAGCCAGAGGAAACUCUGGUGGAGGCUCGCAGCGGUUUUAACGUGCAGGUCGAUCGUCAAAUAUGGGC
This 763-nucleotide ribosomal RNA is filed under the name Cylindrocarpon sp. 799_1_Z01. RNAcentral describes it as "eukaryotic LSU rRNA". It matches the Rfam family "Eukaryotic large subunit ribosomal RNA", at positions 121 to 916 of the family's 3401-position model. Lineage: Eukaryota; Fungi; Ascomycota; Sordariomycetes; Hypocreales; Nectriaceae. The record is from RNAcentral.